Molecule: ribosomal RNA, 469 nt
Filed under: uncultured bacterium
Lineage: Bacteria
Description: partial 16S ribosomal RNA
Rfam family: Bacterial small subunit ribosomal RNA
Source: RNAcentral
GACGAACGCUGGCGGCGUGCUUAACACAUGCAAGUCGAACGGAAAGGCCCUGCUUGCAGGGUGCUCGAGUGGCGAACGGGUGAGUAACACGUGGGUGAUCUGCCCCUUACUUUGGGAUAAGCCUGGGAAACUGGGUCUAAUACUGGAUAGGACCAUGCUGUAGGUGGUGUGGUGGAAAGAUUAGUUUCGGUAAGGGAUGAGCUCGCGGCCUAUCAGCUUGUUGGUGGGGUAAUGGCCUACCAAGGCGUCGACGGGUAGCCGGCCUGAGAGGGUGGAAGGCCACAUUGGGACUGCGAUACGGCCCAGACUCCUACGGGAGGCAGCAGUGGGGAAUAGUGCACAAUGGGCGCAAGCCUGAUGCAGCGACGCCGCGUGGGGGAUGACGGCCUUCGGGUUGUAAACUCCUUUCAGCCAUGACGAAGCCCUUGUGGUGACGGUAGUGGUAGAAGAAGCACCGGCUAACUACGUG